GAUGAAGAACGCAGCGAAAUGCGAUACUUGGUGUGAAUUGCAGAAUCCCAUGAACCAUCGAGUCUUUGAACGCAAGUUGCGCCCGAAGCCAUUAGGCCGAGGGCACGCCUGCCUGGGCGUCACACGUCGUUGCCCCCCCAUCUACUCCUUCGGGAUUGCGGGGGGCGGAUGAUGGCCUCCCGUGUGCCUCGCCGCGCGGUUGGCAUAAAUGCCAAGUCCUCGGCGACGCACGCCACGACAAUCGGUGGUUGCGAAACCUCGGUUGCCCGUCGUGUGCGGUCGUCGCGCAUCGAGGGCUCGAAAAAAUUGCCGGGUUCCGGCUCGGCUUUCAACGCGACCCCAGGUCAGGCGGGGUUACCCGCUGAAUUUAAGCAUAUCAAUAAGCGGAGGA
This 391-nucleotide unclassified non-coding RNA is filed under the name soil metagenome. Its description in RNAcentral is "partial contains 5.8S ribosomal RNA, internal transcribed spacer 2, and large subunit ribosomal RNA". The stretch from base 1 to 122 matches the Rfam family "5.8S ribosomal RNA", at positions 35 to 154 of the family's 154-position model. The record is from RNAcentral.